This is a long non-coding RNA of Lagopus leucura (white-tailed ptarmigan), 300 nucleotides long. RefSeq lists it as uncharacterized. The record is from RefSeq and is a predicted model, not a curated record. Lineage: Eukaryota; Metazoa; Chordata; Aves; Galliformes; Phasianidae. The transcript has 3 exons.
CCUAAACAAGAAAGGACUUGAUACAGAAAUCUCUCCAAUCUGAAUACAGCACUUUCUUUACUACAGCUGAACUGUCUUCUGGAGAGAAUGAAAAGAAUGGAGUGGAAGUGUGGAAAGAGUGGAAAAGGCUGGAUUGUGCUCAAUCAUGAAGCAGCACCAGGCUGAUAUAGGAUGCCACUGCCUAUUAUAUCUCUGGGCAGCACCAGUCUGAGGGUGUUGAGAAAGAAACAUAGUAAGAUUAUGCCAAAGCCACUCCUGUUUAUACAGAAAAAGGAUUGUUUUGUGCCUUAUUUUUUUUGU